Molecule: small RNA, 545 nt
Filed under: Pongo abelii (Sumatran orangutan)
Lineage: Eukaryota; Metazoa; Chordata; Mammalia; Primates; Hominidae
Description: retained intron
Source: RNAcentral
AUUGUGACAUAUAUGUGCUUUGUGUGCAGGAAAAGAUUUCUUCUGAUCUUGGGUUUUUUAGUUGAAAUUUAUCUUCGGUUGAAUUACCAAGGUUGUAUUUUAUGUGAAGUCAUGAAUACAUUUUUUAAGUUAAAAUAAUUAAUUUUAUUCUUGCUUUUUCAUUGUAGGCAAAGUUUACAAGGAAGAAACACAAAAGUUGCAGUGGUUCUGAUUCAGAAGAAAACCCCUUUGCCCCCAGGAGAAGAUGUCAUUGCUUCCGAAAGGGCUGCAGCUUUAUGCAAUGCAUGUGAACUCUCAGGGAAGUCUUUGUUUGUACUGCCGCACACUGACCACCUUGUGGGUUAUAUUAUAAGAUUGGAAAAUGCCUUUUAUGAACAUGCACAGACUUAUUACUACACUGAGAUCAGAAGAGUGAAAUCUCAUAAAGAAUUUUUGAAUAAAACAACACACCAGCUUUUAUUUGUUAGGCAUCAGUUCAAAAUAGCUUUCUUCAGUGAGUUGAAACAAGAUACACAAAAUGCGCUGAAGAAUUAUAGGACCGCCUA